Molecule: long non-coding RNA, 259 nt
Organism: Cloeon dipterum
Lineage: Eukaryota; Metazoa; Arthropoda; Insecta; Ephemeroptera; Baetidae
Exons: 2
Source: RefSeq, a predicted model, not a curated record
CGGUUCCCGCUCACACUCGCAAUAACUUAGUUUGUAACCUUUAGAUGUCACUUGUAACUGUAUGAUAAGCUUUGCUCAUUUACCCUGUAUAAUCCACCUUCACUGACCGCUCACCUACGCACGCAUACGGUCAUGUGCUACUCUCACGCUCCCUGGCCAGGAGCCGCAAAAGCGAGAAGUAAAUUACCUUACUGUAAAUGUUAGACCCGAAGACUUUACCGGGUCUUAAUUAUGGAUUAAAUCUACGUCUACAAAGGAA